ACGCCGCGUGAGUGAUGAAGGUUUUCGGAUCGUAAAGCUCUGUUGUUAGGGAAGAACAAGUACCGUUCGAAUAGGGCGGUACCUUGACGGUACCUAACCAGAAAGCCACGGCUAACUACGUGCCAGCAGCCGCGGUAAUACGUAGGUGGCAAGCGUUGUCCGGAAUUAUUGGGCGUAAAGGGCUCGCAGGCGGUUCCUUAAGUCUGAUGUGAAAGCCCCCGGCUCAACCGGGGAGGGUCAUUGGAAACUGGGGAACUUGAGUGCAGAAGAGGAGAGUGGAAUUCCACGUGUAGCGGUGAAAUGCGUAGAGAUGUGGAGGAACACCAGUGGCGAAGGCGACUCUCUGGUCUGUAACUGACGCUGAGGAGCGAAAGCGUGGGGAGCGAACAGGAUUAGAUACCCUGGUAGUCCACGCCGUAAACGAUGAGUGCUAAGUGUUAGGGGGUUUCCGCCCCUUAGUGCUGCAGCUAACGCAUUAAGCACUCCG
This 487-nucleotide ribosomal RNA is filed under the name Bacillus amyloliquefaciens. RNAcentral's name for it is "bacterial SSU rRNA". It matches the Rfam family "Bacterial small subunit ribosomal RNA", at positions 394 to 871 of the family's 1533-position model. The record is from RNAcentral. Lineage: Bacteria; Bacillati; Bacillota; Bacilli; Caryophanales; Bacillaceae.